AUCUAGUUGAUGAGUCUCAAAAAUAAGACGAAACUCUUGUCCUGGAU
Molecule: non-coding RNA, 47 nt
Filed under: Schistosoma mattheei
Lineage: Eukaryota; Metazoa; Platyhelminthes; Trematoda; Strigeidida; Schistosomatidae
Source: RNAcentral